GGGUUGUGAGGUUAAGCGACUAAGCGUACACGGUGGAUGCCCUGGCAGUCAGAGGCGAUGAAGGACGUGCUAAUCUGCGAAAAGCGCCGGCGAGGUGAUAUGAACCCUUGACCCGGCGAUGUCCGAAUGGGGAAACCCAGUGCAAUCCGUUGCACUAUCGUUAACUGAAUACAUAGGUUAACGAGGCGAACCGGGGGAACUGAAACAUCUAAGUACCCCGAGGAAAAGAAAUCAACCGAGAUUCCCCCAGUAGCGGCGAGCGAACGGGGAGCAGCCCGGAGUCUGAAUCAGCUUGUGUGUUAGUGGAACGGUCUGGAAAGUCCGACGGUACAGGGUGAUAGUCCCGUACACGAAAGCACACAUGCUGUGAACUCGAAGAGUAGGGCGGGACACGUGGUAUCCUGUCUGAAUAUGGGGGGACCAUCCUCCAAGGCUAAAUACUCCUGACUGACCGAUAGUGAACCAGUACCGUGAGGGAAAGGCGAAAAGAACCCCGGCGAGGGGAGUGAAAAAGAACCUGAAACCGUGUACGUACAAGCAGUGGGAGCACCUUCGUGGUGUGACUGCGUACCUUUUGUAUAAUGGGUCAGCGACUUAUAUUCUGUAGCAAGGUUAACCGUAUAGGGGAGCCGAAGGGAAACCGAGUCUUAACUGGGCGUUAAGUUGCAGGGUAUAGACCCGAAACCCGGUGAUCUAGCCAUGGGCAGGUUGAAGGUUGGGUAACACUAACUGGAGGACCGAACCGACUAAUGUUGAAAAAUUAGCGGAUGACCUGUGGCUGGGGGUGAAAGGCCAAUCAAACCGGGAGAUAGCUGGUUCUCCCCGAAAGCUAUUUAGGUAGCGCCUCGUGAACUCAUCUUCGGGGGUAGAGCACUGUUUCGGCUAGGGGGCCAUCCCGGCUUACCAACCCGAUGCAAACUACGAAUACCGAAGAAUGUUAUCACGGGAGACACACGGCGGGUGCUAACGUCCGUCGUGAAGAGGGAAACAACCCAGACCGCCAGCUAAGGUCCCAAAGUCAUGGUUAAGUGGGAAACGAUGUGGGAAGGCACAGACAGCCAGGAUGUUGGCUUAGAAGCAGCCAUCAUUUAAAGAAAGCGUAAUAGCUCACUGGUCGAGUCGGCCUGCGCGGAAGAUGUAACGGGGCUAAACCAUGCACCGAAGCUGCGGCAGCGACGCUUAUGCGUUGUUGGGUAGGGGAGCGUUCUGUAAGCCGUUGAAGGUGUGCUGUGAGGCAUGCUGGAGGUAUCAGAAGUGCGAAUGCUGACAUAAGUAACGAUAAAGCGGGUGAAAAGCCCGCUCGCCGGAAGACCAAGGGUUCCUGUCCAACGUUAAUCGGGGCAGGGUGAGUCGACCCCUAAGGCGAGGCCGAAAGGCGUAGUCGAUGGGAAACAGGUUAAUAUUCCUGUACUUGGUGUUACUGCGAAGGGGGGACGGAGAAGGCUAUGUCAGCCGGGCGACGGUUGUCCCGGUUUAAGCAUGUAGGCGGAGGUUCCAGGUAAAUCCGGUACCUUUUAACGCUGAGGUGUGAUGACGAGGCACUACGGUGCUGAAGUGAUAAAUGCCCUGCUUCCAGGAAAAGCCUCUAAGCAUCAGGUAACACGAAAUCGUACCCCAAACCGACACAGGUGGUCAGGUAGAGAAUACCAAGGCGCUUGAGAGAACUCGGGUGAAGGAACUAGGCAAAAUGGUGCCGUAACUUCGGGAGAAGGCACGCUGAUGUGUAGGUGAAGCCCCUGCGGGCGGAGCUGAAAUCAGUCGAAGAUACCAGCUGGCUGCAACUGUUUAUUAAAAACACAGCACUGUGCAAACACGAAAGUGGACGUAUACGGUGUGACGCCUGCCCGGUGCCGGAAGGUUAAUUGAUGGGGUUAGCUGUAAGGCGAAGCUCUUGAUCGAAGCCCCGGUAAACGGCGGCCGUAACUAUAACGGUCCUAAGGUAGCGAAAUUCCUUGUCGGGUAAGUUCCGACCUGCACGAAUGGCGUAAUGAUGGCCAGGCUGUCUCCACCCGAGACUCAGUGAAAUUGAACUCGCUGUGAAGAUGCAGUGUACCCGCGGCAAGACGGAAAGACCCCGUGAACCUUUACUAUAGCUUGACACUGAACACUGGUCCUUGAUGUGUAGGAUAGGUGGGAGGCUUUGAAGCGUGGACGCCAGUCUGCGUGGAGCCGACCUUGAAAUACCACCCUUUAAUGGCUGGUGUUCUAACGUAGACCCGUAAUCCGGG
This 2228-nucleotide ribosomal RNA is filed under the name Enterobacter cloacae. RNAcentral describes it as "bacterial LSU rRNA". It matches the Rfam family "Bacterial large subunit ribosomal RNA", at positions 1 to 2244 of the family's 2925-position model. The record is from RNAcentral. Lineage: Bacteria; Pseudomonadati; Pseudomonadota; Gammaproteobacteria; Enterobacterales; Enterobacteriaceae.